UCUAAUUUCUUGUAAAAUAAUAUUUAUAGAGUCAUCGGUAAAUAAUUUUUGUAAUGUAAAAGCUAAAUAAAUUCAUACGUACUAUAAUACAGAUAACCGGGAUAUGAAAUUUACUUUACAGUGACUCUUGGGCCCACAAGGAACAAAAGUGCACAAAGGUAGCAAACCUACAGUUUUUGGAGUAGUAAAGCCAACUAUAAUCCUUGACGAUAU
This 213-nucleotide long non-coding RNA is filed under the name Theobroma cacao (cacao). Its description in RNAcentral is "long non-coding RNA (TCAC_LNC003036)". Lineage: Eukaryota; Viridiplantae; Streptophyta; Magnoliopsida; Malvales; Malvaceae. The record is from RNAcentral.